Molecule: long non-coding RNA, 142 nt
Organism: Ipomoea nil (Japanese morning glory)
Lineage: Eukaryota; Viridiplantae; Streptophyta; Magnoliopsida; Solanales; Convolvulaceae
Exons: 3
Source: RefSeq, a predicted model, not a curated record
CAACUAUAGUAAUGGCAAGUAUGUUGUUGCCCAAACUUUUUAAAGCGAAAAAGCGCACUAAAGCGACAAGGUUGGGCUUUGCUUUAAAGCGCAAAGCGAAACAUCACUUUUUCAUGCAAAGCGACGCUUUAAAUAUAUAUAU